CCUACCGCUGGUAUUCAUGUGCAUUCCAUUUGUUGAGUUUAUCAUACAUGGUUUCCAUACGACUUCACCUAUUUGCGAUGUCCAUAGUUUCAGACUUUCAGUACUGGUUAGUACAUGCAUAUUGCUAGUGCUGUUUAUGUCUUCAUAUCUUCAUAUAUCAUAUAAGUUACUCACUGCAUUUACCGACUUUCGGACCACUUGAGCUCGAGUCUAGUAAUUUUGCACAUUUCAUAUGGUAGUUGAUUUCUGUGUCCAUGGUUUAGGUUUAGACUUUCAGUGGAACGUUCAUAUGACAUUACAUAAUUUCCGCCAUCCAGUGGUAUGUUCGGAUGACUGAACAUAGUUUCAGACUUCAAGUUCGUUCAUACGACUGAAUAUAGUUCGUACCAGCGACCAUCGUUUCAAACUUAACAUUUUCUAUCUUCAUAGUGUCACUUCCAGUGGUAGUUAGUAUAGGCAUAUUGCUAGUGCUGUUUGUAUCUUCAUAGCUUUGUAUAUUUCCUUGCAUUUGCUGAGUUUAGUUGCACUUGAGCCUAACACUUGUUAGACAUUUGUAUAUGUCUUCUUCAAACUAGUAACCACCGCCCCACGCACAGAUCUGUGGAUCUCAGCCGCCCGUAAUGCGUGCGAUGGGUUUGCUUACUCCUUCCUGUUUUUUCUGUCCCGAUUGUGGUGGAUCCUUUCACGUUUGAUUUCUGGUCAGUUUUGGUGUGCUCCGUGCAGGUCUACCCAGAGGGGACUCAGAUCGUCAUCCCGUGAUUUGUGAGGCCGAUCAUCUAUGACGUCCGUGCACAACCCAACCUCGUGGAGAGCACCUCUGGCCUCCGGGAGCCGGCUCCAGAUGGUGCGAACUGGUCUUCGUGUCCUUACAUGACCCAUGCCAGAGAGACUACCAUGUACAGGACCCGGGGGAGAACUACAAUGAGAGAGUGUUUCCUUCAAUCAUUCAUAAACAUUCAAAGUUGUGGUUGCCCAAUACAGAGAGAGGGAGAUCAGGAAUAUUCUGACAGAGAGGGCCAGAAAUUUCAUUACCAUUCUCAGUUUUGGUAAAGAGUUGGUUCAUGCCAUUGAAGCCAAACAGUAUGCUGUGCAGGAAGCUGAGCAUGCCAAGCUCAUUGUUGAGAAGGACGAGGAAGACAAGAAAAGUGCAAUUAUCAGGGCACAGAUGAGCAAAACAGAUACUAGAUAAUUUCUCUUUCAUACAACUUCACCUACUUUCCCUGUCCUUGUUAAUGACAACUUCAGGUACGGUCACAAUGCAGCUACAGAGAAGUACGAGGAUUUGAUGGCUGCUAGUAUGAUUGAUCCUACCAACGUACAGGGAAGUACUCC
Hordeum vulgare subsp. vulgare (domesticated barley) is the source of this 1332-nucleotide long non-coding RNA. RefSeq lists it as uncharacterized. The transcript is spliced from 4 exons. Lineage: Eukaryota; Viridiplantae; Streptophyta; Magnoliopsida; Poales; Poaceae. The record is from RefSeq and is a predicted model, not a curated record.